GCCUCUGUAGUGUAGUGGUAGUACGCGCCCCCGCUAUCGCUGAGACGCGGGUUCAAUUCCCGGCUGAGAUA
Parelaphostrongylus tenuis is the source of this 71-nucleotide non-coding RNA. The record is from the annotation of a GenBank genome assembly. Lineage: Eukaryota; Metazoa; Nematoda; Chromadorea; Rhabditida; Metastrongylidae.